RNAcentral lists this ribosomal RNA (1199 nucleotides) under Listeria monocytogenes. RNAcentral describes it as "partial 23S ribosomal RNA". It matches the Rfam family "Bacterial large subunit ribosomal RNA", at positions 1 to 1193 of the family's 2925-position model. Lineage: Bacteria; Bacillati; Bacillota; Bacilli; Caryophanales; Listeriaceae. The record is from RNAcentral.
UUGGUUAAGUUAGAAAGGGCGCACGGUGGAUGCCUUGGCACUAGGAGCCGAAGAAGGACGGGACUAACACCGAUAUGCUUUGGGGAGCUGUACGUAAGCGUUGAUCCAGAGAUUUCCGAAUGGGGGAACCCACUAUCUUUAGUCGGAUAGUAUCCUUACGUGAAUACAUAGCGUGAGGAAGGCAGACCCAGGGAACUGAAACAUCUAAGUACCUGGAGGAAGAGAAAGAAAAAUCGAUUUCCUGAGUAGCGGCGAGCGAAACGGAAAGAGCCCAAACCAAGAAGCUUGCUUCUUGGGGUUGUAGGACACUCUAUACGGAGUUACAAAAGAAAGUUAUAAAUGAAGCGGUCUGGAAAGGCCCGCCAAAGACGGUAACAGCCCGGUAGUUGAAAUGGCUUUCCCUCCAGAGUGGAUCCUGAGUACGGCGGAACACGUGAAAUUCCGUCGGAAUCCGGGAGGACCAUCUCCCAAGGCUAAAUACUCCCUAGUGACCGAUAGUGAACCAGUACCGUGAGGGAAAGGUGAAAAGCACCCCGGAAGGGGAGUGAAACAGUUCCUGAAACCGUGUGCCUACAAGUAGUUAGAGCCCGUUAAUGGGUGAUAGCGUGCCUUUUGUAGAAUGAACCGGCGAGUUACGAUUUGUUGCAAGGUUAAGCGGAAAAAGCGGAGCCGUAGCGAAAGCGAGUCUGAAUAGGGCGCAUAAGUAACAGGUCGUAGACCCGAAACCAGGUGAUCUACCCAUGUCCAGGAUGAAGGUAAGGUAAUACUUACUGGAGGUCCGAACCCACGCACGUUGAAAAGUGCGGGGAUGAGGUGUGGGUAGCGGAGAAAUUCCAAUCGAACUUGGAGAUAGCUGGUUCUCUCCGAAAUAGCUUUAGGGCUAGCCUCGAGGUAAAGAGUCAUGGAGGUAGAGCACUGUUUGGACUAGGGGCCCUUCUCGGGUUACCGAAUUCAGAUAAACUCCGAAUGCCAUGUACUUAUACUCGGGAGUCAGACUGCGAGUGAUAAGAUCCGUAGUCGAAAGGGAAACAGCCCAGACCACCAGUUAAGGUCCCCAAAUAUAUGUUAAGUGGAAAAGGAUGUGGGGUUGCUUAGACAACCAGGAUGUUGGCUUAGAAGCAGCCACCAUUGAAAGAGUGCGUAAUAGCUCACUGGUCGAGUGACCCCGCGCCGAAAAUGUACCGGGGCUAAACAUAUUA